Molecule: ribosomal RNA, 496 nt
Filed under: uncultured bacterium
Lineage: Bacteria
Description: partial 16S ribosomal RNA
Rfam family: Bacterial small subunit ribosomal RNA
Source: RNAcentral
AUGCACGCUGCCGGCGUGCCUCAUACCUGCAAGUCGCGCGCACGGACGAGAAGCUUGCUUCUCUGAUGUUAGCGGCGGACGGGUGAGUAACACGUGGAUAACCUACCUAUAAGACUGGGAUAACUUCGGGAAACCGGAGCUAAUACCGGAUAAUAUUUUGAACCGCAUGGUUCAAAAGUGAAAGACGGUCUUGCUGUCACUUAUAGAUGGAUCCGCGCUGCAUUAGCUAGUUGGUAAGGUAACGGCUUACCAAGGCAACGAUGCAUAGCCGACCUGAGAGGGUGAUCGGCCACACUGGAACUGAGACACGGUCCAGACUCCUACGGGAGGCAGCAGUAGGGAAUCUUCCGCAAUGGGCGAAAGCCUGACGGAGCAACGCCGCGUGAGUGAUGAAGGUCUUCGGAUCGUAAAACUCUGUUAUUAGGGAAGAACAUAUGUGUAAGUAACUGUGCACAUCUUGACGGUACCUAAUCAGAAAGCCACGGCUAACUACGUG